This 435-nucleotide ribosomal RNA is filed under the name uncultured Sphingobacteriales bacterium. RNAcentral describes it as "bacterial SSU rRNA". It matches the Rfam family "Bacterial small subunit ribosomal RNA", at positions 943 to 1382 of the family's 1533-position model. Lineage: Bacteria; Pseudomonadati; Bacteroidota; Sphingobacteriia; Sphingobacteriales. The record is from RNAcentral.
GGUUAAUUCGAUGAUACGCGAGGAACUUACCUGGGCUCGAACGUAAGAUGACUGUAGGUGAAAGCUUACAUCUCUUCGGAGCAUUUUACGAGGUGCUGCAUGGUUGUCGUCAGCUCGUGCCGUGAGGUGUCGGGUUAAGUCCCAUAACGAGCGCAACCCCUACCUUAGUUGCCAUCAGGUAAUGCUGGGGACUCUAAAGGAACUGCCUACGCAAGUAGUGAGGAAGCGGGGACGACGUCAAAUCAGCACGGCCCUUACGUCCAGGGCUACACACGUGCUACAAUGGCCGAUACAGAGGGCAGCUACCUGGUGACAGGAUGCAAAUCUCCAAAGUCGGUCUCAGUUCGGAUCGGAGUCUGCAACCCGACUCCGUGAAGUUGGAUUCGCUAGUAAUCGCGCAUCAGCCAUGGCGCGGUGAAUACGUUCCCGGGCCUU